GAUGAACGCUGGCGGCGUGCCUAAUACAUGCAAGUCGAGCGAACGGACGAGAAGAUUGCUUUUCUGAUGUUAGCGGCGGACGGGUGAGUAACACGUGGAUAACCUACCUAUAAGACUGGGAUAACUUCGGGAAACCGGAGCUAAUACCGGAUAAUAUUUUGAACCGCAUGGUUCAAAAGUGAAAGACGGUCUUGCUGUCACUUAUAGAUGGAUCCGCGCUGCAUUAGCUAGUUGGUAAGGUAACGGCUUACCAAGGCAACGAUGCAUAGCCGACCUGAGAGGGUGAUCGGCCACACUGGAACUGAGACACGGUCCAGACUCCUACGGGAGGCAGCAGUAGGGAAUCUUCCGCAAUGGGCGAAAGCCUGACGGAGCAACGCCGCGUGAGUGAUGAAGGUCUUCGGAUCGUAAAACUCUGUUAUUAGGGAAGAACAUAUGUGUAAGUAACUGUGCACAUCUUGACGGUACCUAAUCAGAAAGCCACGGCUAACUACGUG
Molecule: ribosomal RNA, 497 nt
Filed under: uncultured bacterium
Lineage: Bacteria
Description: partial 16S ribosomal RNA
Rfam family: Bacterial small subunit ribosomal RNA
Source: RNAcentral